UAUAUCUUAGUAUACCAAUACAUAAAAAUUUGAAUUUUGAGAGAAUAGUUAAAAUCUAUUAGAUAUAG
Molecule: transfer RNA, 68 nt
Filed under: Aeolothrips xinjiangensis
Lineage: Eukaryota; Metazoa; Arthropoda; Insecta; Thysanoptera; Aeolothripidae
Description: tRNA-Gln
Source: RNAcentral